Molecule: ribosomal RNA, 440 nt
Filed under: uncultured bacterium
Lineage: Bacteria
Description: bacterial SSU rRNA
Rfam family: Bacterial small subunit ribosomal RNA
Source: RNAcentral
CUACGGGAGGCAGCAGUGGGGAAUAUUGGACAAUGGGCGCAAGCCUGAUCCAGCCAUGCCGCGUGAGUGACGAAGGCCUUAGGGUUGUAAAGCUCUUUUGCCGGGGACGAUAAUGACGGUACCCGGAGAAUAAGUCCCGGCUAACUUCGUGCCAGCAGCCGCGGUAAUACGAAGGGGACUAGCGUUGUUCGGAAUCACUGGGCGUAAAGCGCACGUAGGCGGAUUUGUCAGUCAGGGGUGAAAUCCCGGGGCUCAACCUCGGAACUGCCUUUGAUACUGUGAGUCUCGAGACCGGAAGAGGUGAGUGGAAUUCCUAGUGUAGAGGUGAAAUUCGUAGAUAUUAGGAAGAACACCAGUGGCGAAGGCGGCUCACUGGUCCGGUUCUGACGCUGAGGUGCGAAAGCGUGGGGAGCAAACAGGAUUAGAAACCCUGGUAGUCC